AGUCACUGACAUUAGAUACCCCUGUAGUCCAGGGUGUAAACGCUGCAGACUUGGUGUUGGGAACCCUUCGGGGGUGCUCAGUGCCGGAGAGAAGUUGUUAAGUCUGCUACUUGGGGAGUACGUCCGCAAGGAUGAAACUUAAAGGAAUUGGCGGGGGAGCACCGCAACGGGGGGAGCGUGCGGUUUAAUUGAAUUCAACACCGUAAAACUCACCAGGGAAGACUGUUACAUGAAGGCCGAGCUAAAGACUCUGCUAGAUUUUCAG
This 265-nucleotide ribosomal RNA is filed under the name uncultured archaeon. RNAcentral's name for it is "partial 16S ribosomal RNA". It matches the Rfam family "Archaeal small subunit ribosomal RNA", at positions 718 to 982 of the family's 1478-position model. The record is from RNAcentral.